RNAcentral lists this long non-coding RNA (1284 nucleotides) under Parus major (Great Tit). RNAcentral describes it as "lncRNA (ENSPMJG00000013681.1)". The record is from RNAcentral. Lineage: Eukaryota; Metazoa; Chordata; Aves; Passeriformes; Paridae.
UAUGAUUGGAAAUUGUUGUUCCAGUGCCUUCAUAUGCCACAUUUGGUCUCUUUAUCCUCUCUGUCACAGGUAACUAUCUUACUCCAAGAACAAGAAAAGUAAAUUCACUUGGCUGUCCCACAUCUCUAAGGAACCUGAUGCAUGAGUGGAGUAGAGAAGAGGAAGAGAGAAAAACUCCAGAGACCUACAGAUCAUCUGGCUGGCAGGGUCAAGUUUUCUUUGGAUUGAGGUGGAACUGUGGCUCAUGGACAUCUGAUGUGAUAGAGCAUACUCAAGACUUCUAGAUAUCUUGAGACUGUAAAAGCUGACCACCAACAGAAGGUUUUUAAAUAUCAUUCUUCUGACAAGUAAGUUCUUCAUUCUCAGAUUAUUUAUUUAUUUUUUUUUUCUCUGUGGUAUUCCUGACCUGGAUUUUAUUUUUGUAUUUAUUAUGUGGACUAUCACAUUCAUUUUCUGGGCCAAGUAAGCAUGAGUGCAAAUUGAAUAGUAUGGAAUUGCUCCUAAAUUUCCCAGCUAGAAUGAAACCUAUCAAUAUUACAGCUAGAGCUGAGAUAAAGCACUGACUCACCUAAUUAUCCCAACUUGCAGAGCCAGUGGAACUGAGGUCAUAUCUCUGGAUGUUUUGGGAAACCUUUUGCCCUUUUUUGGUUGGAAAAAUUAAAUUAGUUAAAUAUUUGCAGGAUCUUGCUGGAUUUAGGGAAAGAAAGCUAGAAGAACUUGGAAACUGCUGGAAAUAAUAGUGUCUGAGGAUAGCCUCUACAGUUAUAGGAAAGAGUGUUAGAAGAACUGGUGAGGAUUGGGAAAAGUGGAGAAGAAAAAAAAUUUGCAUUGGAAUGAGGAAGACAAUCCUUACUGAGAGGAAUAGAAAAGAAAGUUCCUUCCUGUUCAGGACUUGUUGAGAAAGAGCUUCAGAACUUAUUAAAAUUUUAGUUUUCAUAACACCCUGCAUUUUAAAACACAAAGUUAUUCUAAACAAUGAAGUUCACUUAGCCUAACUUCUUAAGUGAGAGAUCUCUUUUGGAGCAGCUCCAGAGAGCACUGCUCCAAAACAUUAAUGCAGAUUCUCAUAGCACUACUAAAUUUCAUCUUUCUUUCUAGCUUCAUAAAAUUGCUUUAAUUACUAUGUUAUUUUCUACUUCGUGGAAUAUAUUUCACUUAUUUCACUUCAGUGAAUCCAAUAGAUUUUAUGAAAUGGAGAAAAAACCCCCACCUGGUUACAGGUUGGUUCAAUUUUGAAAGUCAUGUUUUAUUACUCUGUGAUUGAUUGGUGUUGAAAUUUUAGGA